CUUGAUGGAUCCCAGCCACAGCGGCCGGUCCUCCGGCCGGUCCUGGCCGUAGGAGGCGAUCAGCGCCUGCGCCUC
This 75-nucleotide antisense RNA is filed under the name Streptomyces melanosporofaciens. RNAcentral describes it as "ASpks TB sRNA". It matches the Rfam family "ASpks TB sRNA". The record is from RNAcentral. Lineage: Bacteria; Bacillati; Actinomycetota; Actinomycetes; Kitasatosporales; Streptomycetaceae.